CUCUCUCACUCACGCACAAGACCCCCUCUCUCUCCACUCCCCGGAACCCUAGCCCCUCUUCUUUCUCUCUCCCAGCCAACAGCAGCAGGAGCCACCGCCCAGUGCCCAACGCCGUCGUCGCCGACGAACUCGUCUCCUCAGCCAGCGUCCAGCCUCGUCGUCGCCGAUCCUCUCCUCCUGGAAACCAUCUCCUCGCGUCGCUAGGUCUCAUCGCCGAACGGAUAGAGGGUGCUGUCGCCGCCGGGUGGAACUGACCGUGGUGGCAUCAAGAAUCGUCGCCUGUGGAAGGUGAAGGUAUACUCGUCGCUGUCAUCGUUUCUCUUCCCCUCGCCGUCGUCUCUCUCUGUCGCCGUCGAGCCCUCUCUCUGUGUUGCCGUUGAGCUCUCGAUCUCUCUGUGUCGCCGUCGAGCUCAACGACCGUUCCUCCGUGAGUGGCAAGUUCAUGCGGAGGUUCAGGCUCCCUGAGAACGGCAAGAUGGAUCAGGUGAAGACAUCCAUGGAGAAUGGUGUUCUUAUUGUCACUGUUCCCAAGGCAGAAGUUAAGAAACCUGAUGUUGAGCCCAUUCAAAUCACUGGUUAAACAAUAUAAUUUUUCUUAAUCCCCCUUCUGGUUUUCAAGCCUGUGUUUGGGUUUUGUUGUGAAUUGUGAUUGCCUAAUAUCUAUGAUGUUCAUGUCCUAGAAAUAUAAAUCAUGUAGUAGUGGUAAGUAAGAAAGCAAGAUUAUUAUGAUAUGAGGUGUCAUCAAGUAUGUAGUGCACGAAUGGAACUUUUUCUGUGGCUGUGCUUUGAAAAUCCUAUCUAUGAUGAAAAUCUUGAAACUAA
Non-coding RNA from Arachis ipaensis, 822 nucleotides. Lineage: Eukaryota; Viridiplantae; Streptophyta; Magnoliopsida; Fabales; Fabaceae. The record is from RefSeq and is a predicted model, not a curated record.